This 77-nucleotide transfer RNA is filed under the name Kiritimatiellia bacterium. RNAcentral describes it as "Kiritimatiellae bacterium (gut metagenome) tRNA-Arg". It matches the Rfam family "tRNA". From Rfam's summary of the family: Transfer RNA (tRNA) molecules are approximately 80 nucleotides in length. Their secondary structure includes four short double-helical elements and three loops (D, anti-codon, and T loops). The record is from RNAcentral. Lineage: Bacteria; Pseudomonadati; Kiritimatiellota; Kiritimatiellia.
GGGCCUGUAGCUCAUUAGGAUAGAGCAGCGGUUUUCUAAACCGCGGGUAGUGGGUUCGACUCCCGCCAGGCCCGCCA